AUCCCGAGUUAAGUUUGAAGACGUUGGUUUGGCGGUAUCGGUUGUUGUUGCAAUAAUGUCUUCAGUUCAGCAUCUGAGAGAGUUUAUCAAGGAGAAAUUAAAUGCUGCUACAGAAGAAAUCUUCUCAGAGUUUGAAAAAACGAUCGUCCGGUAUGAGGAGGAGAUCCGUCAGCUAAUACCGCUGGAUAUCAGACCCGGGAUAAAGUCACACAAUACAGGUCUGGAUGAUCAGCAGGUCAGUGACCAGGAAAGGAGCUCCAGUCUGGACCAGCAGAACACAGAGCCUUCAAAGAUUAAAGAGGUACAGGAGGAAAUCUCCAUCAUUGGGGAAGGAGAGCAGCUUGAACUGAAGCAGGAAGCUGAAAACAUUUAUGUCUGGACCGGAGAACAGCUGGUUUUGUUGUUGAAUCCUGGAGUAAAGCUGACCAUAAUAGGUCUGGAUGAUCAGCAGGUCAGUGACCAGGAAAGGAGCUCCAAUCUGGACCAGCAGAACACAGAGCCUUCAGAGAUUAAAGAGGUACAGGAGGAAAUCAUCAUUGGGGAAGGAGAGCAGCUUGAACUGAAGCAGAAAGCUGAAAGCAUUUAUGUCUGGACCGGAGAACGGCUGGAUUUGUGCAAUCCUGGAGUAAAGCGGACCAGAAUAGCUUUUUCCACAGAAGAGGGACCUGAAAGCUGAAGGCUCUACCUCCCAUUCUCCCCAACUUUAAGGCAAUGAAUGGUUAAUCUAAACAAUAAAUAAAUCCUGAAAUUUAAGAUUUCCACAACAUGACUGUAAGGACGAGGAUGGGCUCACAAAUCAGCAGGUCUGUAACCAGUAGAAGAACUCCAGUCUACACCAGGAGGAUCCUUCACAGAUUAAAGAGGAACAAGAGGAACUCUGUACCAGUGAAGUGGAAAAACGGUUGUUCUAAAGCAGGAGACUGAAACUUUUCCUGCUCAUGAAGAAAAUGAUCACAGUGAACCAGAACCAAGCAGUGACCAGCUCCAGUCUCACAAAUCUCCUGACACAGAUCAGGAUGAAGUCAAGGGUGGUAACUCGCACAGAAAUGAGUGGGAGCAAAUCGUAUCAGGCCCAAGUGUUCAAAAUUCCGACACCGCACAUUUAUGUAGCACCUGUGGGAAAAGGGUUUUUUUUGUUUUUUUUUUUUUGGAAGUCAAGCUUGACUAGACACAUGCAAAUUCACACCGGUGAGAAACCACAUUGCUGUAGCACCUGUGGAAAAAGAUUUAGCCGGAAGUCACACAUGAAUAGACACAUGCGAAUUCACACAGGUGAGAAGCCACAUUGUUGUAGCACCUGUGGAAAAAGAUUUAGCCGGAAGUCACACAUGAAUAGACACAUGCAAAUUCACACAGGUGAGAAGCCACAUUCUUGUAGCACCUCUAGAAAAGAUUCAGGUAGAGGGAAACUUGAAAUAACACAUGCCAGUUCACAAAAGUGAAAAACCACACUGUUGCAGCACCUGUGUGAAACAUUUUAGUUCUCCAGUACAGUUGAAAAUGCAAUUAGGAAAAGAUGCUACAUGCUAAGUUUCAUUCUUAGAAAAUGGUGGUGGUAGAACACAUAAACAGUGUUUGGGUCAUUGAAAACUGAAAAUUUAAAAAGGUUUUCGGAAGCUCAGUUUCUGUUUUGACACAUGGACAAGACAAAAAGUUUGUCUUGCACCAUAAAAUGUGUGCACCUAUAUCACCUUUUUCUGACAUCAUUGUUUUAUAGUUUAUAGGCUUUGUCUUUGCUGAAGUUUCUUCAUUUUCUUUGGCAUGGCCUCGACAGUGCUUGAGAUAUUUUUAGGGUCUUGAUGUAAAAAUAACUUUCUCCAAAACGCACUUGGAAAUAUCAGUUUUAAAAAAAACUACCCAUGUAGUAGUUGGAUUGACAUUAUGGCAAGUGCUUUUCAGAUGGAAAGGGAAUAUUUUAGGGAAUGACAAUGUUGACAAGUUGAUCUAUGUUCUCAAAUUGUCUGUGAUCCAUAUUUUAAGCUCAUUUAUUAUUUAUAUUUAUAACAUAACUUAUGGACUAAUGUGUCAUUUUAACAGUGUUGUUCCAUUUUGACAUUAAACAAAUCCAGUUUUAAGAUUGUAGAUAAUUCAGUUUAAAGAUAAAAUAUUGAUGAUUAUAUAAUAAAGGAGGAGGAGCUGGUGACUCAUCUCCCAUAAAGGAGCUCAGAAGUUCCCCGGGAGUCUUCAUCUUUAUUUAUCUUUGUUUGCUUUUGGCCUCCAUGUGCUUAUGUCAAACAUACUAGAGAGCUUUUUUUAUUUAAUUUUAUCUUGUAUGUUCAAUAAAAACUGUUGGCAUCAAA
Molecule: non-coding RNA, 2300 nt
Organism: Maylandia zebra (zebra mbuna)
Lineage: Eukaryota; Metazoa; Chordata; Actinopteri; Cichliformes; Cichlidae
Source: RefSeq, a predicted model, not a curated record